AGGACGAACGCUGGCGGCGUGCUUAACACAUGCAAGUCGUACGCGAACGGGUUCUUCUGAACCCUAGUAGAGUGGCGCACGGGUGAGUAACACGUGGAUAAUCUACCCAAUGAUCUGGGAUAACAUUUCGAAAGGAAUGCUAAUACCGGAUAAGCCUACGAAGUCUUCGGACUUAGUGGGAAAAGGUGGGGACCUUCGGGCCUACUGUCAUUGGAUGAGUCCGCGGCCCAUUAGCUAGUUGGUGGGGUAAUGGCCUACCAAGGCUACGAUGGGUAGCUGGUCUGAGAGGAUGAUCAGCCACACUGGAACUGAGACACGGUCCAGACUCCUACGGGAGGCAGCAGUGGGGAAUUUUGCGCAAUGGACGAAAGUCUGACGCAGCAACGCCGCGUGAGUGAUGAAGGUUUUAGGAUCGUAAAGCUCUGUCAGUGGGGAAGAAUUGUCGGGUGGGUAAUAUCCACCUGAAGUGACGGUACCCACAAAGGAAGCACCGGCUAACUCCGUGCCAGCAGCCGCGGUAAUACGGAGGGUGCAAGCGUUGUUCGGAAUUAUUGGGCGUAAAGAGCGUGUAGGCGGUUUUUUAAGUCUGGUGUGAAAGCCCGGGGCUCAACCCCGGAAGUGCAUCGGAAACUGGGAGACUUGAAUACGGGAGAGGGAAGUGGAAUUUCGAGUGUAGGGGUGAAAUCCGUAGAUAUUCGAAGGAACACCAGAGGCGAAGGCGACUUCCUGGACCGAUAUUGACGCUGAGACGCGAAAGCGUGGGGAGCAAACAGGAUUAGAUACCCUGGUAGUCCACGCCGUAAACGAUGGGUACUAGACGUUGCGGGUAAUCACUCCUGCAGUGUCGCAGCUAACGCAAUAAGUACCCCGCCUGGGGAGUACGGCCGCAAGGUUA
This 895-nucleotide ribosomal RNA is filed under the name uncultured bacterium. RNAcentral describes it as "bacterial SSU rRNA". It matches the Rfam family "Bacterial small subunit ribosomal RNA", at positions 26 to 896 of the family's 1533-position model. The record is from RNAcentral.